UACGGAGGGGGCUAGCGUUGUUCGGAAUUACUGGGCGUAAAGCGCGCGUAGGCGGACCUGCAAGUCGGGGGUGAAAGCCCGAGGCUCAACCUCGGAACUGCCUUCGAUACUGCGGGUCUCGAGUCCGGGAGAGGUGAGUGGAAUUCCUAGUGUAGAGGUGAAAUUCGUAGAUAUUAGGAAGAACACCAGUGGCGAAGGCGGCUCACUGGCCCGGUACUGACGCUGAGUGCGCGAAAGCCAGGGGAGCAAACGGG
RNAcentral lists this ribosomal RNA (254 nucleotides) under uncultured bacterium. Its description in RNAcentral is "partial 16S ribosomal RNA". It matches the Rfam family "Bacterial small subunit ribosomal RNA", at positions 524 to 776 of the family's 1533-position model. The record is from RNAcentral.